UGGAGGAGAGGAGGGGCAGGUCGUCACUGGAGGAGAGGAGGGGCAGGUCGUCGCUGUGGAGAAGAUGGGAGGGGCCGCCGCCGGAGGAGGAGAGGAGGGGCCGCCGCCGCCAGAGGAGAGGAGGUGCAGGUCGUCGCUGGAGGGGAGGAGGUGCAGGUCGUCCCUGGGGAGAAGAAGGGCGGCAGUAGCUGGGGAGAGGAGGGACAAGUCGUCGCUCGGGAGAAGAGUCCAAAUCUUCCUGUGUGUGUAACUGAAAUCGGCAUGAGUGCUCUACUCUAAAAAUUGAGAACUCUGUUGUGUCUCACAAUUUUCAGUGUUGUGGGAUGACAGAAAUUGGUAAGGGAAUACCUCAAGUUGGUAUGAGGUUCAGAAGUGUAGAUGAGGCCUCGACAUAUUGGAAUGCAUAUGAAGGUCACACCGGCUUUGAUGUGAGAAGGAGAUACACAAACAAAAGUAGACUUGAUGGUCAGGUUUGUUUAUGCAGACUUGUUUGUUCCAACGAGGGUCAUCGAAGAAAAGUGCAAACUGGUAAUGCACCAAAGCGUUUUAGAGUUGAAAUAAGAACCAAUUGCCAAGCUCGUAUAUGUUUUCAAUUGGAUCGAGAGCCCGGAAAUUAUGAAGUAAGUGAGGUUGUGCUUGAAGACAGCCACUUGCUUCAAUUGCCACAAACCCGCCACUUGAUGAUAUCCCAAAGAAAGAUUUCAGAACGACAAGCUUUUGAAAUUGAAACCGCUGAUGAUUCCGGCAUUAUGUCACAAGCAGCACACGAAUUUGCUUCUCGUCAAGUUGGUGGACCAAUUAACCUUAGAUAUACUUGCCGUGACAAAACAAUCAUUUGUGAACCAAGCUACAGAGGGAGUUGGCUUUUGGAGAAGCUGGGAGUAUGUUGAAAUAUUUUCAUGACAAAAUUGCUGAGAAUCCAUCAUUCCAAUAUGCACUACACUUGGUUUGUGAGGAGAAUAUAACCAACAUAUUCUCGGAUGAUGCUAAAAUGAUCCUUGACUAUGCACAUUUUGGUGAUGUUGUCACUUUUGACACUAUUUUUUAGCACAAAUAAAGAGUAUAGGCCAUUUGGUGUUUUUCUUGGCCUCAAUCAGUUCAGAGAAACCACUAUUUUUGGUGCUGCCUUGCUGUUUGAUGAAACAAAGGGCUCAUUUAUAUGGCUAUUUGAGACUUUUCUAACUGCAUAUAAUGGAAUACAACCUAGAAUUAUUUAUACAGAUGAAGAUGCAACAAUGGGAAAAGCUUCAUGUAGUUGUCAAAUGUUCAAUAGGGCAGGAAUAUUGUGUGGAGAUGGUUUGAAAGUUCUUGAUUUGCUGAAUGUAAAGACAUUGCCAACACAUUAUGUCCUAAAGAGAUGGAUAAGAGAAGCACACAAUGGAAGUAUACAAUAUAGGCAAGGAAGGAAAGUGGUAGAAAAUCCACACUUUUCAUAGGAAAUGGUCCACAAAUGUCAGUGUGAAUGAUUUCUAGUGUUCCCGUGCUUCUGUUUGCAUCCUUUUUUAUUUAUUUUACACACUUUCCUUUAAUGCAAUCAAUGCAUUGUUCUAAGUCUGAGAACUUUAGUGGAGGAAGAAUCUCACUUUUAAUCA
Molecule: long non-coding RNA, 1592 nt
Organism: Hordeum vulgare subsp. vulgare (domesticated barley)
Lineage: Eukaryota; Viridiplantae; Streptophyta; Magnoliopsida; Poales; Poaceae
Exons: 2
Source: RefSeq, a predicted model, not a curated record